AUACGGAGGUUGCAAGCGUUGUUCGGAAUUACUGGGCGUAAAGCGCGCGUAGGCGGUCUGUUAUGUCAGAUGUGAAAGUCCUCGGCUCAACCGGGGAAGUGCAUUUGAGACUGGCAGACUUGAGUACUGGAGGGGGUGGUGGAAUUCCCGGUGUAGAGGUGAAACUCGUAGAUAUCGGGAGGAAUACCGGUGGCGAAGGCGACCACCUGGCCAGAUACUGACGCUGAGGUGCGAAAGCGUGGGGAGCAAACAGGAUUAGAAACCCCGGUAGUCC
RNAcentral lists this ribosomal RNA (274 nucleotides) under uncultured bacterium. RNAcentral's name for it is "partial 16S ribosomal RNA". It matches the Rfam family "Bacterial small subunit ribosomal RNA", at positions 523 to 796 of the family's 1533-position model. The record is from RNAcentral.